AUUGAACGCUGGCGGCAUGCCUUACACAUGCAAGUCGAACGGCAGCACGGGCUUCGGUCUGGUGGCGAGUGGCGAACGGGUGAGUAAUGUAUCGGAACGUACCUUUCAGUGGGGGGAUAACGUAGCGAAAGUUACGCUAAUACCGCAUAUUCUGUGAGCAGGAAAGCAGGGGAUCGCAAGACCUUGCGCUGAUUGAGCGGCCGAUAUCAGAUUAGCUAGUUGGUGAGGUAAAGGCUCACCAAGGCGACGAUCUGUAGCGGGUCUGAGAGGAUGAUCCGCCACACUGGAACUGAGUCACGGUCCAGACUCCUACGGGAGGCAGCAGUGGGGAAUUUUGGACAAUGGGGGCAACCCUGAUCCAGCCAUGCCGCGUGAGUGAAGAAGGCCU
This 388-nucleotide ribosomal RNA is filed under the name uncultured bacterium. Its description in RNAcentral is "bacterial SSU rRNA". It matches the Rfam family "Bacterial small subunit ribosomal RNA", at positions 30 to 417 of the family's 1533-position model. The record is from RNAcentral.